RNAcentral lists this small nucleolar RNA (209 nucleotides) under Solanum tuberosum (potato). RNAcentral's name for it is "snoRNA Plant_U3". It matches the Rfam family "Plant small nucleolar RNA U3". Rfam says of the family: Small nucleolar RNAs (snoRNAs) are involved in the processing and modification of rRNA in the nucleolus. There are two main classes of snoRNAs: the box C/D class, and the box H/ACA class. The record is from Rfam by way of RNAcentral. Lineage: Eukaryota; Viridiplantae; Streptophyta; Magnoliopsida; Solanales; Solanaceae.
AUGAUCUUACUUGAAAAGGAUCUGUUCUAUAGGCUCAUACCACUGUAUCAUUCCUUUCUAAGGAGACAGAAAACCAAGUCUGUUGGAUGAAUCAAUGACCCAUUAGACCAGAGCGUGAUUCAUAGUACUCAUGGCCUCUUAGGUCAUGGCAUCAUAGAUGAUCGUUCUCAGCUCCGAUCAUAGGACUUGGGAUGGUCUAAUGUCAGACU